GUUCCGUUUCGCUUUGGCCGAUGCUUGCCGGAAGUACACUUAUUUACCGGAUGUUGUCGUCUCCUCCGCAGGCCCUUCGAUCUUCGACUACGUGCGCGGCUCGACACAAAUGAAAAACAAUAAAAAAAAAAAAAUUUAAAAAAAAUAGGAGCCGAAUUUAAGACCUCGGUGUCGUACCGACCCGAGGUAAUAAUAGUAUAAU
Molecule: non-coding RNA, 202 nt
Organism: Paramuricea clavata
Lineage: Eukaryota; Metazoa; Cnidaria; Anthozoa; Malacalcyonacea; Plexauridae
Source: the annotation of a GenBank genome assembly